CAUUGGAGCAUCUGUGAACGAAUUUCACAAAUGUAAUUAAAAUAUCUAGCUAGUACUUGGUACAGAGAUCACUGAAAGAGCAGGAGUCUAUCCGUUCAGGAUUUAAUAGAAAUUUUACUUCAGAGGCUUCUAGAGCCAGGAUCUACUGAAAUGGAAGGACCAUCUGUGAGGUUACUGAAAAUGAUCCAGAAAAAAGUACUGGAAGGUGAGAGAAGAUAUUUUUUCAUAACAUGUAAAUGUGUAUUUGCAUUUAAAAGCAAUAAGACCCUCCUGUUCCUGUGUUUCCCAAGUUUACAACCUUUACCAUUCCUCUAAUAGAGUUUGUGGGUUUUUUUGUUGUUUUUUUUUUGUUUGUUUGUUUGUUUGUUUGUUUUGUUGUUGCUGUUGUUGUUUUGUUUGGUUUGGUUUGUGUUUUUUUUUAAUUUUAUUUAAUUUUGUUUUGUUUUGUUUUUCUUUCUUCCUCUGACAGUAACAGGGAAAAGUAUGUUUAGUUUCCCUUCACAUCAAGCUGGUGAACUUACGUUUCAAGAAAGAACUUAGAUGUAUUGAAAUCAUCUUUUUUGCUGCAAUUAACCAACUGGCAGAAGGACUAUAGAUAUAUCACAGGCACAUACAGAGAAUUUCUGAACAUCCUGAAAGAAUAGCAUGUAGUUUUCCUUGUCCAACAAAGGCACAAUGGACCUGAUUUAUCUUUUAGAACUAUCUAAGGAAAUACACUGAAUCUGGGUUUAUUUAUACUGAGAUUACUUCCUAGUGGUAAAAUACAUUAAUGUGCCCUUAAAUUGAUGGUUAAUUGACCUUAAAAUGAUGGAUAAAAUGGCUUUAGUGACUUAUGUGAAUAAAGAGAAUCCAGUAUAUUUUGGCAACUUCUUAUUCCAGAAACAUUUUAUUUUAUUUUACUUUAUAUGAACAGUUUAAUUUGCAUGCUGAACACCAAGAAUUUUCUCACAUAUUAAUAAAGGGAUGAAAACCAAGUGAAAUUACAGGCACAGAUCUAGACAUCUGUCCUGCAGAAGCAGAACAUGUUGCUUGCAUGCAGUUUAGCAAAUCAUACUUAUCUUCUAUAAACUAAGCCUCAUGCCUAAGUGUCUGUGACCUCAGUGAUUUCGUUCUCCUUAUAAAGCCAUUAACACUUCAAAUGAUUCAUAAUUUGCUAAAUCUGAAUACAGAAAUGUUAGAAAUAAUUCAACUUAUUUUUAUUUUAUUUUGUUUUAUUGAAAUAAAAAAUGCCAGUGCUCAAGUCCAAUACCUACAUUAAGCAAAUCCUAGGUGAAAGAUUUUAAUAAAACCCUGUUUUAACAUUCCCAGGGAUAAUUUCUUCUUUCCUUGAAAGUAAUUAAAAAAAAAAAAAACAAAAAAAAAACAAAAAAACAAACAAAAAAAACAACGGUUGUUUUCAGAUAGAAAUUCAUGAGCAUUCUGGCAUUUUUAAUGUUUUUAAACUUUUUUCAACCUGUGCAAAUUCUCAUGAAAUAGAAAAACAUUUCUUAUUCAUCUGAAUUAUAGAGUAUUCAUAGGAUAAUUCCAUUCAGAAAAUGAUGGAAAACACAGCAAGCGACCUCAGAGAAUCACUCAGCAUACUGAAUUUCCUCUUGAUAUAGCAGAGAGCAAUUAGAUUUUUAGAAGAAAGAAAAUAUCUAUUACCUGUUCGUACUGUUAAUGGUCACAUCCACAAUCCAAUACAUUUAAACAGUUCCAAGUGAUUUAAUAAUUGCCAUUCUCUUACAAAAAUAGCAAUUUUCUCAUACCCUUACAAUAUGGAAGUAGUUUUCUAGUGUGAAUGUCUGCAUCUGCAAUUAUUCAUAUUCAGUGACUUGAAUUUUUAUAAAAGGUUUUUCUGGCAAAUCAGUUUAACUCAGUUUGUAAUCCUACUUUGUAAUUUAAAAAAUUGAAUGAAUGUUUCUAGAAGCCUUCUUCAGACUCCAUUUAUAGCAUGGGAACCAUAAGGGGACUGAUUUCCCAUCCCACUGAAUAUAGUAGUAGAUUUUUACUUGGAUUAAACUCUUCGUGAAAAUAGUUCUUGUAUGGAAUAGCCUUCAGAAAGGAGCGAGUGCCACAAAGCCCUGGAACAACAUAUUACAAGCACAACAGUGUUUCCAAACUACCACUUCUCUGUGCUUUCUUCUUCUUUAUAGUUGACCACAGCUAGGACAAUACCAAGUAACUUAGCUCCACUAAAGCCAAUUUUGUAUUUUAUUUCCAUAUUUUAAGAAAAAGACACUGUGUUAUCCUGUUUGUAGCUCAAAUACAGACAUAGAACCAAAUCUUUAAUUGCAUACACAGUUAUUGCAUUGCUCAUAAAACAUUUUUUUACAGAAAUCUUUAUUCAUGUGGAUUUUAGUACAGCCACAUAAUACAGUUCACUUAAAGAAAGAAAGCAAAAGUACAUUUUUUUUUAUAUCUGUGUGAGUGUCAGAAAAUCAGCUUUCUUAAUGAUGAUGAAAGAAAUAUAUGAUAUAUACCCUAUUCACUUCAAUUUGUUCACUAUUCAAAUAAUUCUUUUCUUGUCCUAUUUUUGUCCUGGUUAACUCAUUUUAAAAUUCAAUAGUCUCAUUUUGUCUAAAAAUCACACUCAUCUUUCUCUCAGUUUUGACUUCCCAAUCCCACAUUUUACUUGUGAACUAUGGAUACUAUUAUGUGUUCAGUGUUGCAACUUCUGUACCAAUAAAAAUCUGGAUCAGAAACAGCUUCUGAUCUCUCUCCCAAGGACAGUAAUGCUUGAUUAAAUUCUCUAUAUGCCUUGCUGAAAUGUCACUUGGGAUAUGAUUGCCCAGUGUUCUCUGCCCAAGUGCAUUGCAAGACCACCAUUUGGCUCAGUAAAAUUCCUGCAUGGGAGGAGGCUCUUAGUUUGCCUACACAGCAGUAUUUAUGUCUGUUUAAGGGCAAAAUCAUUCUGUUAGAUUAGUGCAGUGAUCUAGACAGAUGGACAGAGCCAGUGGUACCAAGGCAGUCUCCAUCUCAGUGCAGUCCCUAAGGCCCUCAAUAGCUGAGCAAGGUCAAAACAGCAAACUGAAACUGUGUCAGGAUCAGGUUUAAAGCUAUCCCUGAGGCACAUACUUCAUCCAUCUCUCCCAUCCACAGAAAAAGUGGGUGAAACUCGUAUAAGAGGUUCCUGAGGGAUGCUUGGGAAAAAGGGAGCACAUGUAAGAAAAGAGCUUUUGUUUUUGUGUUUCUGAAGGUUGAAGUAUUUCUGUAUUUCCUAUGUUAUAAAAGAAGAUAAAAAAUGCUUAGUGUAACAUUAAAGUUAAUCAUAUUUUUCCUUUUGAUUCUAUUGAGCUUUGCAAUAUUUCUGUAAUACCCUAAGUAGCACAGUAUGGAAUGUUUGAUUAUAUUUUAAGAUCACAGUGUUUACUGUAUUUUUUACAAACACUCAGCUGUUGCAUUCAUAUUUUUAUGUCUAUAUCUCGUACCACACUAGUUAUCUCAUAACACAUGUAGUAAUUUGGAACAGUUCUUGGUCCUGUGCUAUUUAAGAUAAAGAAAAAAGAGAGAAGAAACAACAAAAUUGUGGCAAGUAAGGAGAACAUGUCACUGUUGCAGAGUGACCUGGAUCAUUUGCAUGGGCAUAAGCAACAAUAUGUAUUCCAGUAUGUGCAAAUGCAUCUCUUAGGGAAAUGUUUUUGUCUUAUCUCCUGGCUGUAUGACCACCAUCAUCUUUAAAUGAUGAAACAUUAGAACUAAAGUUAGACUAUAAUUAACAU
RNAcentral lists this long non-coding RNA (3701 nucleotides) under Anas zonorhyncha (Eastern spot-billed duck). RNAcentral describes it as "lncRNA (ENSAZOG00000002945.1)". Lineage: Eukaryota; Metazoa; Chordata; Aves; Anseriformes; Anatidae. The record is from RNAcentral.